GAGUAACACGUGGGAACGUGCCUUUAGGUUCGGAAUAGCUCCUGGAAACGGGUGGUAAUGCCGAAUGUGCCCUUCGGGGGAAAGAUUUAUCGCCUUUAGAGCGGCCCGCGUCUGAUUAGCUAGUUGGUGGGGUAAUGGCCCACCAAGGCUACGAUCAGUAGCUGGUCUGAGAGGAUGACCAGCCACAUUGGGACUGAGACACGGCCCAAACUCCUACGGGAGGCAGCAGUGGGGAAUCUUGCGCAAUGGGCGAAAGCCUGACGCAGCCAUGCCGCGUGUAUGAUGAAGGUCUUAGGAUUGUAAAAUACUUUCACCGGUGAAGAUAAUGACUGUAGCCGGAGAAGAAGCCCCGGCUAACUUCGUGCCAGCAGCCGCGGUAAUACGAAGGGGGCUAGCGUUGCUCGGAAUUACUGGGCGUAAAGGGAGCGUAGGCGGACAUUUAAGUCAGAGGUGAAAUCCCGGAGCUUAACUUCGGAACUGCCUUUGAUACUGGGUGUCUUGAGUGUGAGAGAGGUAUGUGGAACUCCGAGUGUAGAGGUGAAAUUCGUAGAUAUUCGGAAGAACACCAGUGGCGAAGGCGACAUACUGGCUCAUUACUGACGCUGAGGCUCGAAAGCGUGGGGAGCAAA
RNAcentral lists this ribosomal RNA (629 nucleotides) under uncultured bacterium. RNAcentral describes it as "bacterial SSU rRNA". It matches the Rfam family "Bacterial small subunit ribosomal RNA", at positions 108 to 772 of the family's 1533-position model. The record is from RNAcentral.